UGGCUAACCUGCCCUUGGGACAGAGACACCCCCGGGAAACUGGGGCUAAUCCCUGAUAGGCGAAGAACUCUGGAAUGAGUUUUCACCCAAAAGGCGUUUAGAUCAUGCUUCUAAGCGUUGCCCAAGGAUGGGGCCGCGACCGAUCAGGUUGUUGGUGAGGUAAUGGCUCACCAAGCCUCUAACCGGUGCGGGCCGUGAGAGCGGGAGCCCGGAGAUGGGCACUGAGACAAGGGCCCAGGCCCUACGGGGCGCAGCAGUCGCGAAAACUUUGCAAUACACGAAAGUGUGACAGGGUCAUCCCGAGUGCCGUCCGCUGAGGAUGGCUUUUACUCAGUCUAGAAAGCUGGGAGAAUAAGGAGAGGGCAAGUCUGGUGUCAGCCGCCGCGGUAAUACCAGCUCUCCGAGUGGUGUGGAUGUUUAUUGGGCCUAAAGCAUCCGUAGCUGGCUGAGCAAGUCCCCUGUUAAACCCACCGAUUUAAUCGUUGGUCUGCGGGGGAUACUGCUCGGCUAGGGGACGAGAGAGGCCGACGGUAUUUCCGGGGUAGGGGUGAAAUCCUAUAAUCCCGGGAAGACCACCAGUGGCGAAGGCUGUCGGCUAGAACGCGCCCGACGGUGAGGGAUGAAAGCUGGGGGAGCGAACCGGAUUAGAUACCCGGGUAGUCCCAGCUGUAAACGAUGCAGGCUAGGUGUUUGGGCGGCCACGUGCCGCUCUAGUGCCGCAGGGAAGCUGUUAAGCCUGCCGCCUGGGGAGUACGGCCGCAAGGCUGAAACU
Molecule: ribosomal RNA, 772 nt
Filed under: uncultured archaeon
Lineage: Archaea
Description: bacterial SSU rRNA
Rfam family: Archaeal small subunit ribosomal RNA
Source: RNAcentral